This 574-nucleotide ribosomal RNA is filed under the name marine sediment bacterium BB0608_AND_5.2_1S10. Its description in RNAcentral is "bacterial SSU rRNA". It matches the Rfam family "Bacterial small subunit ribosomal RNA", at positions 76 to 650 of the family's 1533-position model. The record is from RNAcentral.
CUUGCUUAUCCGCCGGCGACCGGCGCACGGGUGCGCAACGCGUAUAGAAUCUGCCCUGUACUGGGGAAUAGCCCAGAGAAAUUUGGAUUAAUGCCCCAUGGUAUGUAUUAGCGGCAUCGCUUAUACAUUAAAGGCUACGGUACAGGAUGACUAUGCGUCCCAUUAGUUAGUUGGUAAGGUAACGGCUUACCAAGGCAGCGAUGGGUAGGGGCCCUGAGAGGGGGAUCCCCCACACUGGUACUGAGACACGGACCAGACUCCUACGGGAGGCAGCAGUGAGGAAUAUUGGACAAUGGGCGGGAGCCUGAUCCAGCCAUGCCGCGUGCAGGAAGACGGUCCUAUGGAUUGUAAACUGCUUUUGUACGGGAAGAACAAGGGGCACGUGUGCCCCUCUGACGGUACCGUAAGAAUAAGGAUCGGCUAACUCCGUGCCAGCAGCCGCGGUAAUACGGAGGAUCCGAGCGUUAUCCGGAAUCAUUGGGUUUAAAGGGUCCGUAGGCGGGCCAUUAAGUCAGGGGUGAAAGUCUGCGGCUCAACCGUAGAAUUGCCCUUGAUACUGGUGGUCUUGAGUUAU